GCCCACGUAGCUCAGUUGGUAGAGUGCUUCCUUGGUAAGGGAGAGGUCAUCGGUUCAAUCCCGAUCGCGGGCUCCA
RNAcentral lists this transfer RNA (76 nucleotides) under Candidatus Babeliales bacterium. Its description in RNAcentral is "tRNA-Thr". It matches the Rfam family "tRNA". From Rfam's summary of the family: Transfer RNA (tRNA) molecules are approximately 80 nucleotides in length. Their secondary structure includes four short double-helical elements and three loops (D, anti-codon, and T loops). Lineage: Bacteria; Candidatus Babeliae; Candidatus Babeliales. The record is from RNAcentral.